UUGUCCACGAAGAAGAAGGGAAUUACUGAGCAAAUCAACUUUCCUGGAAACAAGGUCUCUACAAAGCACCAUGUAUGCUCUAAUAGUGAUGAUAAAAAAGAGAGAUUCUCCAUCUCUUGCCCACUCAUAAGGAAAAGGAAGGAGAUGCCCUACCAUGUACCAAACCCAAUUCCACAUCCCUUCACUACCCAGAUAAAUCUAGUGGCCCCAUUUAGCCUGAAGUCACAGACAGGAAUAGGCAAGUGCUUUCUUCUCUUCCCUUCCCCC
Alligator sinensis (Chinese alligator) is the source of this 267-nucleotide long non-coding RNA. RefSeq lists it as uncharacterized. The transcript is spliced from 3 exons. The record is from RefSeq and is a predicted model, not a curated record. NCBI's taxonomy places the organism in Eukaryota, Metazoa, Chordata, Crocodylia, Alligatoridae.